RNAcentral lists this ribosomal RNA (440 nucleotides) under uncultured bacterium. RNAcentral's name for it is "partial 16S ribosomal RNA". It matches the Rfam family "Bacterial small subunit ribosomal RNA", at positions 338 to 795 of the family's 1533-position model. The record is from RNAcentral.
ACUACGGGUGGCAGCAGUGGGGGAUAUUGCACAAUGGGGGGAACCCUGAUGCAGUGACGCCGCGUGGGUGAAGAAGCGCCUCGGCGCGUAAAGCCCUGUCAGCAGGGAAGAAAAUGACGGUACCUGAAGAAGAAGCCCCGGCUAACUACGUGCCAGCAGCCGCGGUAAUACGUAGGGGGCAAGCGUUAUCCGGAUUUACUGGGUGUAAAGGGGGCGCAGACGGCGAUGCAAGCCAGGAGUGAAAGCCCGGGGCCCAACCCCGGGACUGCUCUUGGAACUGCGUGGCUGGAGUGCAGGAGGGGCAGGCGGAAUUCCUGGUGUAGCGGUGAAAUGCGUAGAUAUCAGGAGGAACACCGGUGGCGAAGGCGGCCUGCUGGACUGCAACUGACGUUGAGGCCCGAAAGCGUGGGGAGCAAACAGGAUUAGAUACCCUAGUAGUC